GCAGUCGAACGGUAACAGGAAACAGCUUGCUGUUUCGCUGACGAGUGGCGGACGGGUGAGUAAUGUCUGGGAAACUGCCUGAUGGAGGGGGAUAACUACUGGAAACGGUAGCUAAUACCGCAUAACGUCGCAAGACCAAAGAGGGGGACCUUCGGGCCUCUUGCCAUCGGAUGUGCCCAGAUGGGAUUAGCUAGUAGGUGGGGUAACGGCUCACCUAGGCGACGAUCCCUAGCUGGUCUGAGAGGAUGACCAGCCACACUGGAACUGAGACACGGUCCAGACUCCUACGGGAGGCAGCAGUGGGGAAUAUUGCACAAUGGGCGCAAGCCUGAUGCAGCCAUGCCGCGUGUAUGAAGAAGGCCUUCGGGUUGUAAAGUACUUCUCAGCGGGGAGGAAGGGAGUAAAGUUAAUACCUUUGCUCAUUGACGUUACCCGCAGAAGAAGCACCGGCUAACUCCGUGCCAGCAGCUGCGGUAAUACGGAGGGUGCAAGCGUUAAUCGGAAUUACUGGGCGUAAAGCGCACGCAGGCGGCUUGUUAAGUCAGAUGUGAAAUCCCCGGGCUCAACCUGGGAACUGCAUCUGAUACUGGCAAGCUUGAGUCUCGUAGAGGGGGGUAGAAUUCCAGGUGUAGCGGUGAAAUGCGUAGAGAUCUGGAGGAAUACCGGUGGCGAAGGCGGCCCCCUGGACGAAGACUGACGCUCAGGUGCGAAAGCGUGGGGAGCAAACAGGAUUAGAUACCCUGGUAGUCCACGCCGUAAACGAUGUCGACUUGGAGGUUGUGCCCUUGAGGCGUGGCUUCCGGAGCUAACGCGUUAAGUCGACCGCCUGGGGAGUACGGCCGCAAGGUUAAAACUCAAAUGAAUUGACGGGGGCCCGCACAAGCGGUGGAGCAUGUGGUUUAAUUCGAUGCAACGCGAAGAACCUUACCUGGUCUUGACAUCCACAGAACUUUCCAGAGAUGGAUUGGUGCCUUCGGGAACUGUGAGACAGGUGCUGCAUGGCUGUCGUCAGCUCGUGUUGUGAAAUGUUGGGUUAAGUCCCGCAACGAGCGCAACCCUUAUCCUUUGUUGCCAGCGGUCCGGCCGGGAACUCAAAGGAGACUGCCAGUGAUAAACUGGAGGAAGGUGGGGAUGACGUCAAGUCAUCAUGGCCCUUACGACCAGGGCUACACACGUGCUACAAUGGCGCAUACAAAGAGAAGCGACCUCGCGAGAGCAAGCGGACCUCAUAAAAUGCGUCGUAGUCCGGAUUGGAGUCUGCAACUCGACUCCAUGAAGUCGGAAUCGCUAGUAAUCGUGGAUCAGAAUGCCACGGUGAAUACGUUCCCGGGCCUUGUACACACCGCCCGUCACACCAUGGGAGUGGGUUGCAAAAGAAGUAGGUAGCUUAACCUUCGGGAGGGCG
Molecule: ribosomal RNA, 1405 nt
Filed under: Shigella sonnei
Lineage: Bacteria; Pseudomonadati; Pseudomonadota; Gammaproteobacteria; Enterobacterales; Enterobacteriaceae
Description: bacterial SSU rRNA
Rfam family: Bacterial small subunit ribosomal RNA
Source: RNAcentral